UUUAACUGAGCGUUCAGUUACUUGACGUAGACCCGAAACCGGGCGACCUACCCAUGAGCAGGAUGAAGCGAAAGUAAAAUUUCGUGGAGGUCCGAACCCACGAGCGUUGAAAAGCUCGGGGAUGACUUGUGGGUAGCGGUGAAAUUCCAAUCGAGCCCGGAGAUAGCUGGUUCUCCCCGAAAUAGCUUUAGGGCUAGCCUCAAGGUGAGAGAUACGGAGGUAGAGCACUGAAUGUCCUAGGGGGUAUUGCACCUACCGAAGACUAUCAAACUCCGAAUGCCGUCAUCUUAUACUUGGGAGUCAGACUGUGGGUGAUAAGAUUCAUAGUCGAAAGGGCAACAGCCCAGAUCGUCAGCUAAGGUCCCUAAAUGUAAGUUAAGUGGUAAAGGAUGUGGGAUUGCACAGACAACCAGGAUGUUGGCUUAGAAGCAGCCACUCAUUCAAAGAGUGCGUAAUAGCUCACUGGUCGAGUGAUCCUGCGCCGAAGAUUUCCGGGGCUAAAACUUACUACCGAAGCUACGGCAUCAGUAAUGAUGGGUAGGGGAGCUUCCCAUAUGGGUUGAAGCAUGACCGUAAGGACAUGUGGACAGUAUGGGAGUGAGAAUGUUGGCAUGAGUAGCGAGAUGUGGGUGAGAAUCCCACAGGCCGUAAACCCAAGGUUUCCAGGGGAAGGUUCGUCCGCCCUGGGUUAGUCGGGACCUAAGCUGAGGCCGAAAGGCGUAGGUGAUGGACAACAGGUUGAUAUUCCUGUACUACCGAUAACCGUUUGAGAGAAGGGAUGACACAGUAGGAUAAGCUAAGCACACUGUUGGUUAUGUGUGCCCAAGCAUUGAGGCAGUCAAAGUAGGCAAAUCCGCUUUGAUAAUGCUGGGAUGUGAUGGGGAGCGAAAUUUAGUAGCGAAGUAGCUGAUUUCACACUGUCAAGAAAAGUCUCUAUCGAGGUUAAAGGUACCCGUACCGCAAACCGACACAGGUG
Molecule: ribosomal RNA, 976 nt
Filed under: Clostridioides difficile
Lineage: Bacteria; Bacillati; Bacillota; Clostridia; Peptostreptococcales; Peptostreptococcaceae
Description: partial 23S ribosomal RNA
Rfam family: Bacterial large subunit ribosomal RNA
Source: RNAcentral